GCAGUGGUGGUUCAGGGGUAGAACGCUCACCUUCCAUUCAGGAGACCUGGGUUCAAUUCCCAGCCAACGCA
Molecule: transfer RNA, 71 nt
Filed under: Loxodonta africana (African savanna elephant)
Lineage: Eukaryota; Metazoa; Chordata; Mammalia; Proboscidea; Elephantidae
Rfam family: tRNA
About the family: Transfer RNA (tRNA) molecules are approximately 80 nucleotides in length. Their secondary structure includes four short double-helical elements and three loops (D, anti-codon, and T loops).
Source: Rfam by way of RNAcentral